RNAcentral lists this ribosomal RNA (778 nucleotides) under uncultured bacterium. Its description in RNAcentral is "bacterial SSU rRNA". It matches the Rfam family "Bacterial small subunit ribosomal RNA", at positions 118 to 896 of the family's 1533-position model. The record is from RNAcentral.
UAUGCAACCUACCGCGAACAGGAGGAUAACGCUGGGAAACCGGCACUAAUAUUUCCAUAAUAUCACGACGGGCAUCGUUCGUGGUUGAAAGCUCCGGCGGUUCGCGAUGGGCAUGCGUUGUAUUAGGUAGUUGGUAGGGUAACGGCCUACCAAGCCUACGAUACAUAGGGGGACUGAGAGGGUUAACCCCCCACACUGGUACUGAGACACGGACCAGACUCCUACGGGAGGCAGCAGUGAGGAAUAUUGGUCAAUGGGCGCAAGCCUGAACCAGCCAUGCCGCGUGCAGGAAGACGGCUCUAUGAGUUGUAAACUGCUUUUGCAAGGGGAUAAACCCGGUUACGAGUAACCGGUUGAAGGUACCUUGCGAAUAAGGAUCGGCUAACUCCGUGCCAGCAGGCGCGGUAAUACGGAGGAUCCAAGCGUUAUCCGGAUUUAUUGGGUUUAAAGGGUGCGUAGGCGGCCUGUUAAGUUAGAGGUGAAAUCCCGUGGCUCAACCACGGAACCGCCUCUGAUACUGGCAGGCUAGAGAGUAGAUGCGGUAGGCGGAAUGUGUAGUGUAGCGGUGAAAUGCUUAGAGAUUACACAGAACACCGAUCGCGAAGGCAGCUUACCAAUCUAUGUCUGACGUUGAGGCACGAAAGCGUGGGUAGCAAACAGGAUUAGAUACCCUGGUAGUCCACGCAGUAAACGAUGAUAGCUCGUUGUCGGCGAUACACAGUCGGUGACUUAGCGAAAGCGUUAAGCUAUCCACCUGGGGAGUACGUUCGCAAGAAUG